GAGUUUGAUCCUGGCUCAGAUUGAACGCUGGCGGCAGGCCUAACACAUGCAAGUCGAGCGGAUGACGGGCAGCUUGCUCCUUGAUUCAGCGGCGGACGGGUGAGUAAUGCCUAGGAAUCUGCCUGGUAGUGGGGGACAACGUUUCGAAAGGAACGCUAAUACCGCAUACGUCCUACGGGAGAAAGCAGGGGACCUUCGGGCCUUGCGCUAUCAGAUGAGCCUAGGUCGGAUUAGCUAGUUGGUGGGGUAAUGGCUCACCAAGGCGACGAUCCGUAACUGGUCAGAGAGGAUGAUCAGUCACACUGGAACUGAGACACGGUCCAGACUCCUACGGGAGGCAGCAGUGGGGAAUAUUGGACAAUGGGCGAAAGCCUUAUCCAGCCAUGCCGCGUGUGUGAAGAAGGUCUUCGGAUUGUAAAGCACUUUAAGUUGGGAGGAAGGGCAGUAAGCUAAUACCAAACUGUUUUGCCGUUACCGACAGAAUAAGCACCGGCUAACUCUGUGCCAGCAGCCGCGGUAAUACAGAGGGUGCAAGCGUUAAUCCGAAUUACUGGGCGUAAAGCCCGCGUAGGUGGUUCGUUACCUUGUAGGCA
This 593-nucleotide ribosomal RNA is filed under the name Pseudomonas fluorescens. RNAcentral's name for it is "bacterial SSU rRNA". It matches the Rfam family "Bacterial small subunit ribosomal RNA", at positions 9 to 596 of the family's 1533-position model. Lineage: Bacteria; Pseudomonadati; Pseudomonadota; Gammaproteobacteria; Pseudomonadales; Pseudomonadaceae. The record is from RNAcentral.